UCAAACUGAAGACGGCGACCGGCGCACGGGUGAGUAACACGUAUCCAACCUGCCGAUAACUCCGGAAUAGCCUUUCGAAAGAAAGAUUAAUACCGGAUAGUAUACGAAUAUCGCAUGAUAUUUUUAUUAAAGAAUUUCGGUUAUCGAUGGGGAUGCGUUCCAUUAGUUUGUUGGCGGGGUAACGGCCCACCAAGACUACGAUGGAUAGGGGUUCUGAGAGGAAGGUCCCCCACAUUGGAACUGAGACACGGUCCAA
RNAcentral lists this ribosomal RNA (256 nucleotides) under uncultured bacterium. RNAcentral describes it as "partial 16S ribosomal RNA". It matches the Rfam family "Bacterial small subunit ribosomal RNA", at positions 76 to 334 of the family's 1533-position model. The record is from RNAcentral.